AUGAGGAACUGGGGUUAUUAUGAACCUUCCCUUAAAGGGCAUCUAGGUCUUCAGCUGAUGUCUUCGGUGGUUGAUCGAGAUAUGAAACCUUUCCUAACUAGGCGUGAGAAUCCUAUUAUGCUCGGCGCUAACGGGUUGUACCAUUCUCGGGAUUCUAUCGUUCCAGAAGCACCUUUAUCUCACAUAGAUUAUGUAAACACCAGGUGGGGUUAUUUAUUCGUGUUUUACUAUUAAAAAACAUGCUGAAAACCAGCAAUAUAAUGAUAAAGAUUACAACUUUUUGGCCUUAUCCACCUUUUUCUAAUUUCUUUUUUCAAUUAAGAAUAUCACAGGAUACUAUUAACAUGGAAAGCUAAGAUGUAUAUUAAAUUGGAAAAAUCAGAAAUUGAAGUUGAUACUCUUUAUGCAGUAACUAACAAUAAACAUCAAACGGAUAAACCCCCAGUUCAUAGAUUAUUAUAUUAGUUGAAGUUAUACUCUUUAUGCAGUAACUAACAAUAAACACCAAACGGAUAAACCCCCAGUUCAUAGAUUAUUAUAUUACCAUUAAAAGGAAUGCUGAAACCUAAAAAUGUAAUGAUAAAAAUGCACCUUUUAUGGCAUUCUCUUUUUUUAUUUUUCAUUUUCUAUUAAGAAUAUUUACAACUAAAGAGCAUUGGAAAAAGGGAUUACCCAGAGGACAAAAAGGGAAAUCACAGCUCUAUUUUUGCCGGAGAGAAGCAAAGUUCGCCGAAGAUGGAGAGAGUGUGCCAAACUUGGAUGAAGAAGAAAGAAAGAAUGUGACAUAUACUUGACGUUGGGCCUCACAAGAAAAAUAGUUGCUGGGCCAAAAAUCAACUGGAAGUUGGGCCUAUCAUCCAAGCGGGCAGCAAAUGAGGUUAAAUUAUCAUGGUAUAGCCAGUUUUCACACCGGUCAAUCAAAAAUAGCCAACAUUUACCAAGUUAAUAAGAAAUAGCCAUUAUUUUACUGCAACAGCGACCGGUCCCGUAUAAUAUACGGAAGUUCUUGUGCAAUUAUGUACGAACUCCAGCAUAUUAUGCUGGACCGGUAUACUUUGCUAA
RNAcentral lists this long non-coding RNA (1062 nucleotides) under Nicotiana benthamiana. RNAcentral describes it as "long non-coding RNA (NBEN_LNC039607)". The record is from RNAcentral. Lineage: Eukaryota; Viridiplantae; Streptophyta; Magnoliopsida; Solanales; Solanaceae.